This is a long non-coding RNA of Mastomys coucha (southern multimammate mouse), 452 nucleotides long. RefSeq lists it as uncharacterized. The transcript is spliced from 3 exons. Lineage: Eukaryota; Metazoa; Chordata; Mammalia; Rodentia; Muridae. The record is from RefSeq and is a predicted model, not a curated record.
GGAGAGGAGAGGUUCAAGUGCAGGUCCUUCUCUGCCUCUGUGUCUAUGACACAGCCUGCUGAGUUCCAUUGGCCACAUGACAAUGAGACAGGGAAGACAGGCUGCUUCAUGGAUCUGACAGUGGCUUCAGAGUCCACAGGAUCCCAGCCUUGCCAAUCACUAGCUAAGUGUCCCUGAGCCAGCGGCUUUAGCAUUCUGAGUCUCUAUAACAUUCUCUCUGUUUCACUUUGCAGCACCAUCUUUACCACAGCAGUCAGAGCAAACGAGGACAGAAACUGGUCCUAGAGGGCACGGCUGUGACUGACUGGCCAUGUUGUAUGGGGUAAUGGGCAAUUCUGACAGCCCGAGUCCAGUAGAGGCCACCUUGGAACCCCGGAGACCCACUGAACAUCAGCUCAUGAGGGACGGUGCCGUGCAGCAAACAGGCCAGCCCCAGGGGGGAGAGAGAGAGA